ACCCUCCUCAACUCACAAGGUUGAC
This 25-nucleotide ribosomal RNA is filed under the name Ceratocystis albifundus. Its description in RNAcentral is "partial 28S ribosomal RNA". Lineage: Eukaryota; Fungi; Ascomycota; Sordariomycetes; Microascales; Ceratocystidaceae. The record is from RNAcentral.